AUGCGAGUAAAACAGUCUAAAUCAAUGGUUCCAAAAUGUUACGGACAGACAGCUCUGAUUCCUCGUCAGGCGGCAACUUCUCCAGCUCCAAAUCUUAAAACGGCAAGACACAUGACGACUAAGAGGCGAUUUGCUCGUCAUCCUCAUGACGCAGCGCAGGCCCUCCCCCUUGAGCAUGAGGUCGAACGCCAUGUUGAUCUGGGAGAAGGGCACGCUGUGCGUGAUGAACUUUUCCAGCUCCAGCUCCUUCCUCAUGUACAUCUCGACGACUUCCCGGUGGUCGGUGUGUGGUUUGUAGUUGCCGAAGGUGCCCUUCAGGGUCCUUUCAUUGACGAAGUUCAUCGGGUGGAACACCGCCUCCUUGUGCGGGACACCCACCAGCACCGCCACGCCCCACCCCUGCAUCCACCAGAUUUCAACAUUCAGUCUGAAGUCUAA
Molecule: ribosomal RNA, 438 nt
Filed under: Triticum aestivum (bread wheat)
Lineage: Eukaryota; Viridiplantae; Streptophyta; Magnoliopsida; Poales; Poaceae
Description: partial small subunit ribosomal RNA
Source: RNAcentral